This 232-nucleotide long non-coding RNA is filed under the name Capsella rubella. RNAcentral describes it as "long non-coding RNA (CRUB_LNC000273)". The record is from RNAcentral. Lineage: Eukaryota; Viridiplantae; Streptophyta; Magnoliopsida; Brassicales; Brassicaceae.
UUUGAUUGAUUGCAAGUGCUAGAUAUGAAUGAAGACUGUUUAGAAGUGUGGAGAAAGACUUGUUGAAAUUUGGUCACAAAUGGGCUUAGAACUCAGAAACAUCGCGUUGAACCACUAAAUGGGUUGUCUAGUGUUGUUUGGGGUUAGAAUAUGUUAGAAUAAAAUGAAUUUGUUUGAUUAAAAGAGCUAGAUAUGCAUGAAGAGUGUUUAGAAGUGUGUAGAAAGACUUGCU